RNAcentral lists this long non-coding RNA (249 nucleotides) under Gossypium barbadense (sea-island cotton). Its description in RNAcentral is "long non-coding RNA (GBAR_LNC017311)". The record is from RNAcentral. Lineage: Eukaryota; Viridiplantae; Streptophyta; Magnoliopsida; Malvales; Malvaceae.
CUGCCGCUCCUCCUGCUCGCACGCCUCUACCACCGCGCCAACCUCUGACACCACCUGCAAAAAGAAAGCAACAAAGUAGAAAACGACAAACAAGCAUAAUCCAAAUUGCAAACAACAAAAUAGAAGUUUAGGGUUUUAAGAAUCGGCUAUAGCCAUGAAAUAUCAAUGUGUUGUCUUCUUCUUCUUUUUAAAAAAAAACUGAUUGAAUGCAAAAACAAAAGAAAUGAUUUGAUUGUUGUUGAAGGUGAU